ACACACUUCAACCAUUUGGUGGUGAAUUGUGAGAAACUGGCUUUGAUGAUACAGUUUUUGCAAAUCCACAUAAUAAGAAAUGACACUUAAGGAAUCAGAACUUGUUAGAGACAUUCAAAACAAUCAAUGAACACAAACAAAUUGAAGUACAAAAUUAAUCAGUUUUUCUUCACUUUUGAAACCAUAGUAAUAAGAUCACCAACCAUGAUUUCAAUAAUUAGAUUAAACUUUUUCAAGAAUUUUUCUGUAGAAAAUAAAAUAUUAAAUAAUAAUUUGUGUGAGCAAUUGAGUGUUUUUGUUAUUAGUUAAGGCAGUUGCACCAAAAUGUCCUCUUAAUCAUCAUUCCAAAACCGAUUAUUUUGUUUUCAUUGUAUUAAUCAUUGUUCACAAAAGACUUCCAGGGAUUUUCAUGAGUUACAAUUCUUUCUUUUACUCACCAAUUAUCAUCUUGUUUUCAUGAAAUAUUGUAAAAUAUAAUUUUGAAAAAUCUGACAUAGAAACAUUAUAAUCAAAUUUUACUCUGCAUUUAUUUAUUUAUUUAUUUAUUUAUUUUCAAUAUAGAUAUACAACUAAAUCCUUGAAAUUGGCAUCAAAUUCUCACAUACCAUUGUUUGAAAACAUUUUUUUUCUUUUUUCUUUUCAGUCAUUAUUUUAUUAAACAUCUUAGAGUCUCAUGUUUAAUAUGUCAGUCUUAGAAUUCUUUCAAUAUCUUCUACACGCUACUUAUCCACCAUCACCUAUAUCUUUACAGUCACUUAAUUUUUAUGCCCAAUUUAUUCUAUGAUAAACAUAAAUCUAUACAAUUAUUUACAUACUUAUGUUGGUAUAGUUGUUUGUUGGAUAUUAAAAUUAUGCCAAGACUUUGAACUAUCAAUUGGUUAACAUCUCAAUUGAGCAAUUCAAAACAAGCCCAAAUGGUUCAUAAGAUUAAUGAACAACUUUAACUUAUGAUUAUUAUUAUGACAACUAUCAGAAUGCUACUAACAUAAAAAUAAAAAAUAAAAAAUAAAUAAAAAAAAACAGGUCAGUUUGCUUGCUAUGAAUGGGUUGAUUCCCACUUCGUACUUCAUUCAUUUGUUCACAUAUGUGUUCAUAUGAUAGUGUUGUGUACUUCUGUACCAAUUCCCUGUGCCCACCCUAAAAGACCAAGCUCAGCACCCUUCUCAUGGUAUGCAGGUAUUUAUAGCAAAGAAGUUAUUUCUUUAUUAAAUAAUAUCUAAGAGAAUGUAAAAAAUAAUUAUUUGACAAAUAUGCAAGUAUCGGUGAAACAAAAAAUGAAGAAACAAAUCAAUGGAUGAUCUGUAAGAGAGGAACCACAAUUGUCUUAUGUUUGAUUUUUUGUACAUCAAAGUUCUCAAAGGUUGAAUAACUUCCAGUACCUGUCUUUGUGGAGGUUGAAAUACCCCAUUUCAAAACUGUUUCUCUUUAAUAAAAUAAAUGAUAUCAACCAAAUAUAAAUAAAAUAAUCUAGCCACCACCAGUGGGAGUUGUGCUGUAGAAUGCUGAUGCUUUGCAGCAAACAACCCACACUUGUUAUUUUUACUACAAAAUGUAAUCACACACCUGUUUGUCUCCUACAACAUAGAUAUACUUUCCUUAUAUGUAUAUAUAUAUAUACCUGAAUUUACAUCAACACUUUCCAUGAGAGGUUCAACUACACAAACUUUCCAAUCACAGCAAUCUCUACAAGAAUUUUAAUCACUUCCUGUAGACCAUUCUGGAAACCAAUGUCAAAUUGUAAAAUCCAACGUGUUAUUUUACAUAUUUUUUCUUCACAAAGGAAAAUCUUUUGAAUAGCAGCAAGGGUCAACUCACAUGAUGGGAUGUUGUAUUAUAUAUGAUCACGGGGGGGUACUUUGACCUUAGUUUACAAAGAGAGAAAAAGGACAUCUUCAUACUAUUCUCUUUUUUCUCAAAAGGUACAACACACACCCCUUCUUCUUGUCUCUCAAUUUAUUAAACAUAUAUCUAUAUAUCUAAAUAUAUAUCAAAACGAACAAGGCCUGAUUUCUAUAGAGAAUAGGACAAAUCCAUUGCCUCUCCCAAAAGAUGGAUGGGCUGCCAAUUACUCCUAAGUUUGAAUUGGUUUGCUUUAACCACUAGUUGAACAACUUCAGGGUUUUUUUUAUGAUGGGAUCAACCAGAAUGGCACAGAAAUUAGAACUAUUACGGCAACAACAGCAACAACAGCAACAUUAGUAAUGUCAAUACCAACACUACUGUUACCCUAAAACCAGUUGCUUUACUUUUUCUGGGUACUGGGUCAGUGUCAUGUGCAGAAGCUUUCUUUAGUUCUUCUGUCAAUUAGCUGCCUUUUAAUGUUAAAAGUGAGAGCAUCUGAGAAAAAGUGAAGGUUCUCAUCAUUCCCACUACCUACCUUUCCACAUCCCACUUUCUCUCUCUCUCUUCCAUCCAAAGUCACGAUCCACACACACACACACACACUCACUGCCUUUUCAUAAUUGUAACCACCCCCUGAUCUCCUCCUCGAAGCACUGGAAGCCAGUUUGAUGUUAAAAUAACAGAUACAACACAAAAGAAAAAUAUUGGUCGCUUGUACACCAGAAUUCAUAUACAGGUACAUAGCAAUUGAGAGUUUUUAACACAAAGACACAGAGAAUGAACAAUGGUAAGGAUAAGAAUAAUAGUAAUAAGAAUACUACGAAGAAGAAUAAGAAUGGAUGGAUGUGAGUGAGAGUGAAGAUGGUUUGCUGCGGUCAAGCAAAGGGCAAUAAUAAUAAUUUCCCGUUUUUGCUGCUAGAGAUGAUUAACGUGCAUACUCUCAUAGACCAAAUCAUCGGGUGAGGGUCAGGCCACCAGGGCGGGUUGUGAGACAAACCACCGCACCGCAUCGCAUCGCACAACAUAUCGGCACAGCAUUGUGGAUUGUCUGCUGCUGCCGGGGCGGCACCGACCCAGGAUUGCGGGGCUUCAGCUAUGGAGUUAGUUUCCAUCCUUCUUAGCUUUCUUUCU
RNAcentral lists this long non-coding RNA (2973 nucleotides) under Physcomitrium patens. RNAcentral's name for it is "long non-coding RNA (PPAT_LNC005900)". Lineage: Eukaryota; Viridiplantae; Streptophyta; Bryopsida; Funariales; Funariaceae. The record is from RNAcentral.